This 360-nucleotide ribosomal RNA is filed under the name uncultured Methanosaeta sp. Its description in RNAcentral is "bacterial SSU rRNA". It matches the Rfam family "Archaeal small subunit ribosomal RNA", at positions 978 to 1338 of the family's 1478-position model. Lineage: Archaea; Methanobacteriati; Methanobacteriota; Methanomicrobia; Methanotrichales; Methanotrichaceae. The record is from RNAcentral.
AGCUGAGAGGUGGUGCAUGGCCGUCGUCAGUCGUACUGUGAAGCAUCCUGUUAAGUCAGGCAACGAGCGAGACCCACGUCCACAGUUGCCAGCAUACCCUCCGGGGUGAUGGGUACACUGUGGAGACCGCCGCUGCUAAAGCGGAGGAAGGAGUGGGCAACGGUAGGUCAGUAUGCCCCGAAUCUCCCGUGCUACACGCGGGCUACAAUGGUUGGUACAAUGGGCAUCUACCCCGAAAGGGGAAGGAAAUCUCUUAAAGCCAAUCGUAGUUCGGAUUGGGGGCUGCGACUCGCCCUCAUGAAGCUGGAAUCCGUAGUAAUCGCGUUUCAACAGAACGCGGUGAAUACGUCCCUGCUCCUU